Molecule: ribosomal RNA, 253 nt
Filed under: uncultured bacterium
Lineage: Bacteria
Description: partial 16S ribosomal RNA
Rfam family: Bacterial small subunit ribosomal RNA
Source: RNAcentral
CACGUAGGGCGCAAGCGUUGUCCGGAAUUAUUGGGCGUAAAGAGCUUGUAGGCGGUUUGUCGCGUCUGCUGUGAAAUUUCGGGGCUCAACCCCGAACUUGCAGUGGGUACGGGCAGACUAGAGUGUGGUAGGGGAGACUGGAAUUCCUGGUGUAGCGGUGAAAUGCGCAGAUAUCAGGAGGAACACCGAUGGCGGAGGCAGGUCUCUGGGCCAUAACUGACGCUGAGAAGCGAAAGCAUGGGGAGCGAACAGG